This 484-nucleotide ribosomal RNA is filed under the name uncultured bacterium. RNAcentral's name for it is "partial 16S ribosomal RNA". It matches the Rfam family "Bacterial small subunit ribosomal RNA", at positions 30 to 507 of the family's 1533-position model. The record is from RNAcentral.
AUUGAACGCUGGCGGCAGGCCUAACACAUGCAAGUCGAGCGGAUGAAGGGAGCUUGCUCCUGGAUUCAGCGGCGGACGGGUGAGUAAUGCCUAGGAAUCUGCCUGGUAGUGGGGGAUAACGUCCGGAAACGGGCGCUAAUACCGCAUCCGUCCUGAGGGAGAAAGUGGGGGAUCUUCGGACCUCACGCUAUCAGAUGAGCCUAGGUCGGAUUAGCUAGUUGGUGGGGUAAAGGCCUACCAAGGCGACGAUCCGUAACUGGUCUGAGAGGAUGAUCAGUCACACUGGAACUGAGACACGGUCCAGACUCCUACGGGAGGCAGCAGUGGGGAAUAUUGGACAAUGGGCGAAAGCCUGAUCCAGCCAUGCCGCGUGUGUGAAGAUGGUCUUCGGAUUGUAAAGCACUUUAAGUUGGGAGGAAGGGCAGUAAGUUAAUACCUUGCUGUUUUGACGUUACCAACAGAAUAAGCACCGGCUAACUUCGUG